This 72-nucleotide transfer RNA is filed under the name Bos taurus (domestic cattle). It matches the Rfam family "tRNA". Rfam says of the family: Transfer RNA (tRNA) molecules are approximately 80 nucleotides in length. The record is from Rfam by way of RNAcentral. RNAcentral also lists the same sequence under 1 other name. Lineage: Eukaryota; Metazoa; Chordata; Mammalia; Artiodactyla; Bovidae.
UCCUUGGUCGUCCAGUGGUUAAGAAUCCAGCUUCCAAUGCAGGACACAUGGGUUCGAUCCCUAUUCCAGGAA